CAACAAGUAUAUGGGUGAUGGAUAUCAGAUUUGGAAGAAACCUAAGAAUAGAUUAAAAAAGAGAAAUGGUUAAAAUAAUAUCGUUAAAUGUUCAAGGUCUAAAUUCCCCUAGUAAACGAGCAAUUCUGUUUGAUUACAUUAAGAAAGAAAAAGCUCAUAUCAUCUUUCUACAGGAGACACACUGGAAGAGAGAUGAUAAGUUAAGAUUCAUUCCACAAAGUUUUUCAACAGUAAUAUCUGCCACAUUAGAGAGUCAGAGGAAAAGAGGUGUAGCCAUUAUGAUAAGUGACG
Molecule: non-coding RNA, 291 nt
Organism: Pelobates cultripes (western spadefoot toad)
Lineage: Eukaryota; Metazoa; Chordata; Amphibia; Anura; Pelobatidae
Source: the annotation of a GenBank genome assembly